GCAGGGGUGGUGGAACUGGUAGACACGCAUGUUUGAGGGGCAUGUGCUUGUAUAAAGCGUGAGGGUUCGAGUCCCUUCCCCUGCACCA
RNAcentral lists this transfer RNA (88 nucleotides) under Tissierellia bacterium. Its description in RNAcentral is "tRNA-Leu". It matches the Rfam family "tRNA". Rfam says of the family: Transfer RNA (tRNA) molecules are approximately 80 nucleotides in length. Their secondary structure includes four short double-helical elements and three loops (D, anti-codon, and T loops). Further hydrogen bonds mediate the characteristic L-shaped molecular structure. tRNAs have two regions of fundamental functional importance: the anti-codon, which is responsible for specific mRNA codon recognition, and the 3' end, to which the tRNAs corresponding amino acid is attached (by aminoacyl-tRNA synthetases). tRNAs cope with the degeneracy of the genetic code in two manners: having more than one tRNA (with a specific anti-codon) for a particular amino acid; and 'wobble' base-pairing, i.e. permitting non-standard base-pairing at the 3rd anti-codon position. Lineage: Bacteria; Bacillati; Bacillota; Tissierellia. The record is from RNAcentral.